GUAGGGGGCGAGCGUUAUCCGGAUUUAUUGGGCGUAAAGCGUGUGUAGGCGGUUUAUUAAGUCUAAGAUUAAAGCCUGAGGCUCAACCUCAGUUCGUCUUGGAAACUGGUAGACUUGAGUGUGGUAGAGGCAAGUGGAAUUUCUAGUGUAGCGGUUAAAUGCGUAGAUAUUAGAAGGAACACCAGUGGCGAAGGCGGCUUGCUGGGCCAUUACUGACGCUGAGACACGAAAGCGUGGGGAGCAAA
Molecule: ribosomal RNA, 245 nt
Filed under: uncultured bacterium
Lineage: Bacteria
Description: partial 16S ribosomal RNA
Rfam family: Bacterial small subunit ribosomal RNA
Source: RNAcentral